This 444-nucleotide long non-coding RNA is filed under the name Brassica napus (rape). Its description in RNAcentral is "long non-coding RNA (BNAP_LNC003470)". Lineage: Eukaryota; Viridiplantae; Streptophyta; Magnoliopsida; Brassicales; Brassicaceae. The record is from RNAcentral.
AUACUAUAUAUAUAUGUUAAUAUCAUUUAUAUUUAUUUAUAUACCAUAUCAAAUAGAAAAGGGAAAUUGCCAAAAAUACAAUUUUCAAAAUACCACUUUUCAUGUUUACACUUAUUAAUUUUACACUCAUCUUUAAUGAAUGAGAAAAGACAUUUAUAACCUUUGAAUUAACUUAGACAAAAAAAACAUAAGAUUAAUCUAAACUUAAAACAUCACUUCUAAACCCUAAAUCAUCAACUCUAAACCCUAAACAACGAAACAUUCAAAUCUAAACCCUAAAACAUCAAAUGUAAACCCUAAACUCUAAAUAAUCAACUCUAAACCCUAAACUAUAAAACAUCAACUCUAAACCCUAAACCCCGAAACAUCAACUCUAAACCCUAAACUCUAAACCUUCAAAUCUAAACCCUAAAACAUAAACUCUAAACCCUAAACGUGAACCCU